UGGGGAAUCUUCGACAAUGGGCGCAAGCCUGAUCUAGCGAUGCCGCGUGAGUGAUGAAGGUCUUAGGAUCGUAAAGCUCUUUCGCCAGGGAUGAUAAUGACAGUACCUGGUAAAGAAACCCCGGCUAACUCCGUGCCAGCAGCCGCGGUAAUACGGAGGGGGUUAGCGUUGUUCGGAAUUACUGGGCGUAAAGCGCGCGUAGGCGGACUAUUAAGUCAGGGGUGAAAUCCCGGGGCUCAACCCCGGAACUGCCUUUGAUACUGGUAGUCUUGAGUUCGAGAGAGGUGAGUGGAAUUCCGAGUGUAGAGGUGAAAUUCGUGGAUAUUCGGAAGAACACCAGUGGCGAAGGCGACUGUCUGGCGCAUUUCUGACGCUGAGGCGCGAAAGCGUGGGGAGCAAACAGGAUUAGAUACCCCCGUAGUCC
Molecule: ribosomal RNA, 424 nt
Filed under: uncultured prokaryote
Description: bacterial SSU rRNA
Rfam family: Bacterial small subunit ribosomal RNA
Source: RNAcentral